AUUGAACGCUGGCGGCAGGCCUAACACAUGCAAGUCGAGCGGAGCGGCGGACGGGAGAGUAAUGCAUAGGAAUCUGACUGGUAGUGGGGGAUAAAGUCCGGAAACGGGCGCUAAUACCGCAUACUAUCAGAUGAGCCUAGGUAGGAUUAGCUAGUUGGUGGGUUAAAGGCCUACCAGGGCGACGAUCCGUACCUGGUCUGAGAGGAUGAUCAGUCACACUGGAACUGAGACACGGUACAGACUCCGACGGGAGGCAGCAUUGGGGAAUAUUGGACAAUGGGCGAAAGCCUGAUCCAGCCAUUCCGCGUGUGUGAAGAAGGUCUUCGGGUUGUAAAGCACUUUAAGAUGGGAGGCGUUACCAACAGAAUAAGCAACGGCUAACUUCGUGCCAGAAGCCGCGGUAAUAC
Molecule: ribosomal RNA, 407 nt
Filed under: uncultured bacterium
Lineage: Bacteria
Description: partial 16S ribosomal RNA
Rfam family: Bacterial small subunit ribosomal RNA
Source: RNAcentral